Molecule: microRNA precursor, 227 nt
Filed under: Gossypium raimondii (Peruvian cotton)
Lineage: Eukaryota; Viridiplantae; Streptophyta; Magnoliopsida; Malvales; Malvaceae
Description: miR8651 stem-loop (gra-MIR8651)
Source: miRBase by way of RNAcentral
UUUGGCAUUGCAUACCUGCUAUUAUGAUCCAUUAAUUCUGGAUAUCCCGUCUUCAAGCUCCCCUGCAUAUUUGGUAUCAGAACAUGUGCAAAAAAGAUUUCCUUUAAAUCUUAACAGAUUUAAAAAGAAAAUCUAGGAGUUGAUGGCUCUGAUACCAAAUAUGCAGGGGAGCUUGAAGACGGGAUAUCCAGAAUUAAUGGAUCAUAACAGCAGGUAUGUUAUGCCAA